CGCACCUUACGUGGCGAAUUUUCCCAUUCAUUAUCAUUAACUUAUUUGUUGCUGUUGUUGUUGUUUAACUACCGUCAUUUAACUUUAUAGUCGUACGGCAGCAAGGGCCGAAAGCGGAAAAUGGAAAACAGUCGUCAAGCGAACUUGAAGUGAGCUUGGGACCUGUGCGGCCCCGACGUUGAGACUGUUGAAAAAGUUGCAGCACAGAUCACCAUCGGCCCAUGCAUCUAAAGGGUGUAAUUUCUUACACCCCACUGCUUUUACACCAGGACUGGUCACCAACACCAACUUUACGCCACAAUGGGUAGCAAAAGCAUUGGACGGACCGAUUGAUUCGCCCGUUUCUCGGCUGUCGGACGGUACCAUUCGACGUACGUUGC
Molecule: long non-coding RNA, 380 nt
Organism: Ornithodoros turicata
Lineage: Eukaryota; Metazoa; Arthropoda; Arachnida; Ixodida; Argasidae
Exons: 3
Source: RefSeq, a predicted model, not a curated record